RNAcentral lists this ribosomal RNA (1070 nucleotides) under uncultured eukaryote. RNAcentral's name for it is "SSU rRNA". It matches the Rfam family "Eukaryotic small subunit ribosomal RNA", at positions 577 to 1674 of the family's 1831-position model. The record is from RNAcentral.
CGGUAAUUCCAGCUCCAAUAGCGUAUAUUAAAAUUGUUGCCGUUAAAAAGCUCGUAGUCGAACUUCGGGCUCUGUCAGCCGGUCCGCCUUCUUGGUGUGUACUUGUUUGACGGAGCCUUACCUCCUGGUGAACGGCAAUGUCCUUUACUGGGUGUCGUCGCAAACCAGGACUUUUACUUUGAAAAAAUUAGAGUGUUCAAAGCAGGCCUUUGCCCGAAUACAUUAGCAUGGAAUAAUAAAAUAGGACGCGCGUUCCCAUUUUGUUGGUUUCUGAGAUCGCCGUAAUGAUUAAUAGGGGUAGUUGGGGGCAUUUGUAUUCCGUCGACAGAGGUGAAAUUCUUGGAUUGCCGGAAGACAAACUACUGCGAAAGCAUUUGCCAAGGAUGUUUUCAUUGAUCAAGAACGAAGGAAGGGGGAUCGAAAACGAUUAGAUACCGUUGUAGUCUCUUCUGUAAACUAUGCCAAUUGGGGAUCGGUACAGGAUUUUUAAUGACUGUAUCGGCACCCGAAGAGAAAUCUUUAAAUGAGGUUCGGGGGGGAGUAUGGUCGCAAGGCUGAAACUUAAAGGAAUUGACGGAAGGGCACCACCAGGUGUGGAGCCUGCGGCUUAAUUUGACUCAACACGGGGAAACUCACCAGGUCCAGACACAAUAAGGAUUGACAGAUUGAUAGCUCUUUCUUGAUCUUGUGGUUGGUGGUGCAUGGCCGUUCUUAGUUGGUGGAGUGAUUUGUCUGGUUAAUUCCGAUAACGAACGAGACCUUAACCUGCUAAAUAGACCAGCCGGCUUUGGCUAGCUGCUGUCUUCUUAGAGGGACUAUCAGCGUUUAGCUGAUGGAAGUUUGAGGCAAUAACAGGUCUGUGAUGCCCUUAGAUGUUCUGGGCCGCACGCGCGCUACACUGACAGAGCCAGCGAGUCUACCACCUUUGCCGGAAGGCAUGGGUAAUCUUGUGAAACUCUGUCGUGAUGGGGAUAGAACAUUGCAAUUAUUGUUCUUCAACGAGGAAUACCUAGUAAGCGUGAUUCAUCAGAUCGCGUUGAUUACGUCCCUGCCCUUUGUACACACCGCCC